AGGACGAACGCUGGCGGCGCGCUUAACACAUGCAAGUCGAGCGGAAAGGCCCUUCGGGGUACUCGAGCGGCGAACGGGUGAGUAACACGUGAGCAACCUGCCCUUAGCUCCGGGAUAGCUCCGGGAAACCGGAAUUAAUACCGGAUACGACCACAGCCGACAUCUGCUGUGGUGGAAAGGAUUCCGGCUAAGGAUGGGCUCGCGGCCUAUCAGCUAGUUGGUGGAGUAACGGCCCACCAAGGCGACGACGGGUA
This 254-nucleotide ribosomal RNA is filed under the name uncultured bacterium. Its description in RNAcentral is "partial small subunit ribosomal RNA". It matches the Rfam family "Bacterial small subunit ribosomal RNA", at positions 26 to 285 of the family's 1533-position model. The record is from RNAcentral.